RNAcentral lists this ribosomal RNA (501 nucleotides) under uncultured bacterium. Its description in RNAcentral is "bacterial SSU rRNA". It matches the Rfam family "Bacterial small subunit ribosomal RNA", at positions 28 to 524 of the family's 1533-position model. The record is from RNAcentral.
GAUGAACGCUAGCGGCAGGCCUAAUACAUGCAAGACGAACGGUAAGUUGAGUAGCAAUACUUAGCCAAGAGUGUCGUACGGGUGCGUAACACGUAUGCAACCUACCCUAUACAGGAGGAUAGCCUAGGGAAACCUGGAUUAACCCUUCAUAGUAUUAUUGGAUGGCAUCAUUUGAUAAUUAAAACUGAGGUGGUAUAGGAUGGGCAUGCGUCUGAUUAGUUAGUUGGCGGGGUAAUGGCCCACCAAGACGAUGAUCAGUAGGGGUUCUGAGAGGAAGAUCCCCCACACUGGCACUGAGAUACGGGCCAGACUCCUACGGGAGGCAGCAGUAGGGAAUAUUGGUCAAUGGAUGCAAGUCUGAACCAGCCAUGCCGCGUGCAGGAAGAAGGCCUUCUGGGUUGUAAACUGCUUUUGCCAGGGGAUAAAAAUUUCCAUGCGUGGAAAACUGAAGGUACCUGGUGAAUAAGCCACGGCUAACUACGUGCCAGCAGCCGCGGUAAU